CUACAGCGCAGAAGUAAAUCUGGAUGUUCACUGCGCUGUCAUUACCGUUUUCUGAACGGUGGAUUUAAAACAACAGCCAUCUACUACAAAAGCGACACAUUGGCAUUAUUUAAAAGUGACAGGCGAUCGAGACAGAAAAUAACGAGUGAAUUACCUGAUCGCUUUCAAUGAUAUCAACAAUGUACUUCCAAAGAUUCAUUGUUAAAGCAAUAACGUGUUUUUUGACAUUGGUGGCAAUUUUAAUUAUUUAAACUAUCGCUACUUGAGAACGACCCUAGCAGAUACAACCGUUCGUUUUAAUGAAAUAAAUACAUUUAAAUAUGGAAUACCAACGAAAGAAGAGGUUCACCAAUUUCACAAUCGGACUAAUAUUCCUUUUCAGUGGCAUUGAAUACGCGGUGAUCUUGCCCACCAUCUGGAAGUACCUGCAGACCCUCCAUGCAGAGCCCUAUUUCCUGGGGCUGGGUCUCUCUGCGUUCUCUCUGACGGGUCUGCUGGCCGGGCCUCUAUUCGGACACUGGUCAGACCGGACUCGCAGGACCAAGGCCAUCAUUCUUUUUGCUAACCUCUUCGAGAUCGUAGGUAACUUCAUGUACUUCAUGGGGGUCUCCAAGUGGCUGCUGCUGUCCAGCCGGCUGGUGGCAGGUAUUGGCACAGGGGCUGGUGCCUCGAUCUUCGGCUAUCUGACCCGCGCCACGGCGCCCGAGGGCCGCGCCACCGUCUUCGCUGCAGUCAUGGCCUGCAGGCAGGCGGGGCUGCUGAUUGGUCCAGCAUUUAAUCUCUUCUUGCGACUGUGUGACUUCAAACUGGGCCCGUUUGUAGUGAAUAAAUACACCUCCCCUGGGCUCUUCAUGUGCUUCUUAUGGAUGCUACUGCAGCUUGUGGUCCUCUUCAUGUACUGGGACCUCCCGCCACGGGGGGCACUGCAGCGGGAGGAGCAGGAGAUAAAGCAGGAGGAAGAGGAGGAAGGGAAGGACGAGGAGGAGAAGCCGCUAGUAGCCCAGGACAUCCAGGAGUCCUACGGCAGCAUCCAAACUGCCGACAUCCUGGAGCUCCCUCAGCACAGCCCGAGCCUGCCCAACGGGAACCUCGACCAGCCCUCUCCCUCACGCAGCACAAGCCCUUUCCACAGCUUCAGCGCAAGCAGAGAGUAUCUGCGGGAGGAGGUGGUGGUUCUGUUGUCUGCCCAGUUCAUCACCCUGUUCAACCAGACCGCCCUGGAGACGAUGGUGACACCGCUCACUCAGAAGUACUUUAACUUCGGGGAGCUGGAGAACAGCGCCAUGUACUGCCUGUGUGGCAUCGAGGUGAUCGCCGGCUUCUUCUUCGUGCGCUGGCUCAGCUGCCGCUACGCUGACCGGGUCAUCCUGGCUGUGGGGCUGGUCAUCUGCAACGUCUCCUGUGUCUGGUUCCUCAUCUUCCUGUGCAAGCCCCGAGGCAGUGGGGCCUGGCUGCUGGCCCAGUUUGUUAUCGGGGUGUUCCUGCAGGUUCUGGGGCUCCCCUUCGUGGCGGUCGCGCAGAUCUCCCUCUUCUCCAAGGUGACGGCUGAGAAGACGCAGGGUUUCAGCCAAGGUCUGCGGCGCUCUGUUGGGGGUCUGGCCACCAUCCUGGGCCCCCUGUGGGCAGGUGGGCUGAUUAGGAACCUGUAUGUCAUGCUGGGGGUGAUGAUGGGGCUGCUGACUCUACUCACUGUGAUGAUGGGCGUGUCCUACAAGCACCUGGUGGAGCCUCGUACCAAGACCAACCACACUGACACCCAGGAGGACUGUGGCUAGUGCCCGUGGAAACCUGGCAGAGAGGCUGAAGGUAGGCUAACACAUCAGAACGGUAUGUGACUUUCAUUGCAGUCUAGCCUAUUAACCCAAUAAAGUUUCAGAGAAAUACUUAUUGAAAUACGUUUCUUGUUUUUUUGUUUUUUAUUAUUAUUUGUUUAUUUAGCAGACGCCUUUAUCCAAGGCGACUUACAGAGACUAGGGUGUGUGAAUUAUGCAUCAGCUGCAGAGUCACUUACAAUUACAUCUCACCUGAAAGACGGAGCACAAGGAGGUUAAGUGACUUGCUCAGGGUCACACAAUGAGCCAGUGGCUGAAGUGGGAUUUGAACCGGGGACCUCCUGGUUACAAGUCCUUAUCUUUAACCACUGGACUACACAGCCACCUAUAGAAGUGACCCCAUUUUCUAUGGGUCUCUGUUCUCUGUGAAUGUGAACCUUCCUCCCCUGACUGACCGGCUGAGAGGCUGCACUACACACCACUCACGCUGGGCUGACAUUCACUGAGGCAAGGCCAGGCUGGACAUGAGCUGGACACUUCUUCCAGUGCCCUAGGCAGGGCUGUGAUGCCAUUAUAAACAAGAGAUGAUCUCCCUACACACACACACACACCUCCCAAUACCGUAGUGCAUCUGUAGAGACAGCCUCUGAAACAGUCACUAAUCCCUUCCAUUUCCUGAUCCUCAGACCAUCCUGAACUCUAACCACUGAAAUGUGAUGAAAUGUACAAAAAUGCCUAUACACAAAAACUCCAGAAGAAUGUGCCAGAGACCUUAGGAAUUUUGUUGUGGAAGACAGCAAAGGAAAGAAGGUAUAACUUAAGAGUGGAAGUACUGUUGAGUUACUAUACAUAUUUUGACACACACAAAAAAAACCCCAAAAAAGUAACCGAAAACACUAAAUUUCAUACAGUAUAUCAAAAACGAAAGCCCUGAAAAAAAACGAUUUACAUAAAACUCAAAAAUAGCUAAAAAUAAACACUGAAAAAUAUAUAGUUAUAUAGUAGGGUUUGUGAUACUAUACACUUCCCUGUAAGUAGUGCACUAUGUCAUUAACAUGCACACAGUUAUUUGCAGACAGUGCAGGAAUCCCAUUGCACACGGAUGGGGUUUCCUUGCUGUUGUGGCUUGGGCCUGGAUCGACAGCAAUAUCUAAAUGCUUGGAGGCAUCAAGGAUUAAAGCACUGCAGAUGCAGUUGUCUUUUUUAAUGCAGCUUUUUCUUUUUCAUUCAUAUCAUUUAAUAAGCUAUGAUCAGAUGGGUCAGCAGUGUCUCCUCCCUCACUACAAGAAUAGCACCAUUGAAACUCUCACAAGCCUCUCACUCAUUCCCCUGAUUGAGCAAAGCAGAUGAGCGCCAGGCGGGUAGAGUCAUGACCAUUGCUAAGAUUCCAUUGGGAACUCACUGGCUACAGCAAAUGGGAACAGAAGCAUCAUUGUGUAAAAACAAGUAAUCUGAUUUGAAUUGAAAAUGUUUACCCGACAGAAGUACAGUGUUGCGUACUGAAAGCAUUUCACAAAGGCAGUGAACAGUGCCUGUUCUUACGAGUAGCAGAGUGGCUGUUAUCCUCUCCCGUUCCCCCUGUCCUUUAGUUCACCACUGGUGUCCAAAUGGUGUAACUGCUGUGUUUGAAUUUGAACUUUCACUGAUUAAAUCUGUUGAUGCUGUAGAAGAUCAUUAUUUUUAGAUUUUUUUUUUUCUUCCAAAACCUGAAGUGAAUGUACUUUAUACUCUACAGGUCAAGAGCAACUGUGCAAUAAAACGAAUAAAGCAAUGC
Molecule: RNA transcript, 3546 nt
Organism: Acipenser ruthenus (sterlet)
Lineage: Eukaryota; Metazoa; Chordata; Actinopteri; Acipenseriformes; Acipenseridae
Gene: mfsd8l1
Gene name: major facilitator superfamily domain containing 8-like 1
Exons: 12
Source: RefSeq, a predicted model, not a curated record